UGGGGAAUCUUGCGCAAUGGGCGAAAGCCUGACGCAGCGACGCCGCGUGAGGGAAGAAGGCCUUCGGGUUGUAAACCUCUUUCAGGAGGGACGAAGCCACUCGGGUUAAUACCCCAGAGGGUGACGGUACCUCCAGAAGAAGCCCCGGCUACCUACGUGCCAGCAGCCGCGGUAAUACGUAGGGGGCAAGCGUUGUCCGGAAUUAUUGGGCGUAAAGCGCGUGUAGGCGGCCAGAUAAGUCCGCUGUGAAAUCUCGAGGCUCAACUUCGAGCUGUCGGUGGAAACUGUCUGGCUAGAGUCCGGAAGAGGAGAAUGGAAUUCCUGGUGUAGCGGUGAAAUGCGCAGAUAUCAGGAAGAACACCCGUGGCGAAGGCGGUUCUCUGGGACGGUACUGACGCUGAGACGCGAAAGCGUGGGGAGCAAA
Molecule: ribosomal RNA, 424 nt
Filed under: uncultured bacterium
Lineage: Bacteria
Description: bacterial SSU rRNA
Rfam family: Bacterial small subunit ribosomal RNA
Source: RNAcentral